Monomorium pharaonis (pharaoh ant) is the source of this 3807-nucleotide long non-coding RNA. RefSeq lists it as uncharacterized. The transcript has 2 exons. NCBI's taxonomy places the organism in Eukaryota, Metazoa, Arthropoda, Insecta, Hymenoptera, Formicidae. The record is from RefSeq and is a predicted model, not a curated record.
CACGCCGAAGCGUAAACGUGUCAGCACCUUCGACGUUGAACGCACAUAUUUGACGAGCGAGUGAUAUGCAACCGCCAGAUAAAUCGAAUUUACGAUAAAUCUGAAAGGACUGUGGCAAAGCCGUCUCUCCGGUUGCAGGACGAAAGAAAUAGGGAAAUAUGUAAGAUAGCCGAUUUUUACGAAGCAUAAUAUUAUUCGUUACAAAAUUGAUGAUGCGCAAAACCAUGUGAGCAAAAAGUUUAUUACAUAUUCGAAUUUGUGAAUUACGAACUCUACGAACUGCAUGCUGUGAUUUUAUUUUGCUCUGAAGUUCUGUUUAAUAUCACAUUAAGCAUAUAAUUAUUAUGAGCCUUUUCCAAAAAAUAACUUUCUCGUCCUUUUUCCCGCAUUAACCAAAACUUUGAUAUUAAGCACUUGAAUAUUCAUGGCGCGGCUUUUAUUACAUGAAUAACAUUACCUUUCUUCACUCCACAGCGCGAAGCAUUAGGGACGUAAAUCACGGCUCGAGUUCAUACAUUUUACAUGAUUUUAGUUUAUAACGCGCAGUUAGCGUGGAUCAUUAAUUUCAAUAAUCCUUCGGAUAUUGCUCGCGCAUAGACGCAAUUAUAAAUGUAACUCUUGAAUGAACUUGUGUUAUCGAACUCAUAUUAGACUCUAUGUCUAAUACUCUUAUAUACACAUAUGUAUAAAAUAUAUGGCCUAAAUAGAUCGUUUGUCUUUUUCAUUUUCUUUGUUUUUUCAACAUUUCUUCAUCUGUUUUUCAAUAUUUAUAAUAAAUAACAGUUUAUAGACAUUUCAGCAAAUCAUAGAAAGUUAAAUCUAGUUUAACUUUAAAGUUUUAAAUCUAAUUGCAUAAUAUCCAAUUGAAUUAGAGUUAAUCUUUUUAACUGUAAUUCUAUAUCAAAUUAUACUGUCUACGCGUACUUGAUUUUAAAACUUUCUUUAUCAAGAUAGUAAAAUACUAGAUUUUAUAUAAGACAUUUUAACUUUCUUGUAUAAGUUAUUUAACUAAAAGAAUCACAUUUUAACAGUAUAUAAUUUAAAUAUUUAUAAUAUUUAUUAGCAAGAAUUGUUAAGAAAAAAAUUUUUUAAGGAGAUGCUACAAUUAUUAGUUUUACUGACUAAACAGCGACUUACACAUAUGCAAUUUACAUGUGCACACAAUUUACAAAAUAUCAAUACGUCGCUAUAUAUUACUAUAAUAUAUCAAUAUCACAAGCAUAAAAAACAAAUUUUCAAGCACACUAAUUUUUCAUAUUAAAUAUCUAAGCUUAAUUCUAAGAACUCAACAUUGUUUUUUCGUGUAAUCCAUACAUCAUGUCAUUCUUGUUCUGUUACAAACACAGAUUACAAAAUUUUUGUAUGAAAUAAAUAUUAGCACACGUUAAUAGCUAUAGAUGCCAUAUUGGACUAAGAAUAAGUAAAAUUAAAUUUUUUUGUUCUUGUGUGACAUAAAAUCGACCAGCUUGUAUUAUUAGUUAUAUUAACCUACACUUUAAACGUGGAAGAUUUUUAAAUCCAAGUAAAAAAAUAGCUUGCUGAAAAAAUAACAUUUGUGAUCAGUAAAACAAAAGAACUUUAACAUCCCGUUCAAAUGUAAUUUAAGUUUUACAACACAUAGCACAAAUGUACAAUAGUUAUAUUAUAAAGAAAUAUAUACAAUAGAAAGUAUUAUGUAAAAUUAUAUAUUAUAUUUUAUAUUUAUAUUCUUUUUAAAUUACAUUUUAAAAUUACUAAUUUUAUACAUAUAUAUUAAUAUAUUUUUUAUUUAACAUUUUAUGAAACACAAUUAUAUUAAAUUCUAUUCGCACAGUAUAAUUCUGCUAAAUGAAGACGGGCAACCGAUUAUAGAGCAUGACCACGUACAACAGUGACUAAGGACAGCAAGGGUGAAAACCAACCCUUGCGCACCUGCCCGCUCCCAUGUUCGAUUAGCGAUGAAUUAUCCCCAACCAAGCUCCCAUGCCAGUAAUUCUACCUGUUGGUCUAAAUCUCAGUCCGUUCUGUUCUCCCACUGAUUAUUCAGCUAUCAAACAUUUUCGAACGUUAACGUUUAAAUCAAUCGAGCUUUGUAUUUCACGCGUUUCACGAGAGGAAUGCUUGUGCAACGUGGCAAAAAAAAAUUAAUUUUGUUCAUGUAAUAUAUAAUAAAAUGUUUCAAAUGUCGAAAUAUUUUAUCAUAUAAUGAAUCAGUAAAAAUGUAAGUGGACUAAAAGAAGAAAUUUUUAUCUGACACAAAACAAUUUUUAAUCUGACAGGGAGUUACUCACCAACUGAUAUUGUUUAAAUUACUCUUAAUGAAUUGUGUCAGCAACAGUAGCGGAAACCAUUGCAGAUACAAUUCAUUCCAAAUUUACUCUACCUUGCAUCGGACAUGUGAUCGAUAGAUAGAAAUACUCUACGAGGAGGGAAGUGACCACGUGUACCUUUCUCAUUUUACAGAUCCGAUUUUGGUAAACUUAAAAAUCACUUGUUUCUCUUUGGAUACAUGUAUCUUUUGUUAUCAGUAUUUUAUCAUUAGAUUGUCUGAAUGCAAUUUCAUAAAAUGCAAAUCAUUUCUCUAUAAAUCAAAAUUGUAUUAAAAUAAUAGAUUUAGACAAUUUAUUUAAUGUAGAUUAUUAGGAAUGCGCGUGUUACACAUUUUCUAUAUAUCUUCUAAUUUAUUUAUAUAAUAGCCUUGCAAAAAUAGUUACUGAUUCGCAUUGACUUAUAGCUGGAUAGAAUACUUUAAUCUUCCGUGCUGGAAGAUUUCCAAAUAUUUGAUAAUAAAUAAUUCUUCACAAAAAUAUUCGUCAUUUUUAUACUUACAUCGUAUAUACAAAACGUGUAUUGUUGCGUAAAUUGAAUUUUUGUAUGGUUUUAUCAACACGUUCACGAAUGUCCGUGUAAGCAAUAAUCAUAAAAGGUUCAAUCGCAAGAUAUUGGAUCACGAAAGGCGAUACAGAAGAUAGAAGAUAGACAAAGAAUGUAGAACGGGAGAUACGUGAUGGAGAUGUUAACCUUCUCAUCUAGUCGUCGUGAAUCGUUAUAUCGUACCGUGCUCUGUAUAUAAUGGCGCGACUUUGCCUGUUCGCAAAACGGACAAUAUCUUUAUCUUUACGAGGGUUUGAGCUUUUUAAUUUCAUGACGAAUUAUCGUAAACGAAAUGCCUACACAGCGAAGCUUCGGACCGUAGUACUUUGUUAACGGCCACACAUAAAUCUGUCCGGACGUUCAAAUAUUAACUGUUUCAUGAUAUACGAUCGCAAAGCUAAAAUUGCACAGUUAUAACUACGUUCGACUGCAGUUUGCGCAGAUCCCUCCCCUGCAAUUUCGUAAGCGGCAAAUUGAUUAUUCGAGCACGACAUCAAUCCAAUUUUACUGCCUGGCUAGUCAAAUGACAGAAUUAAACAUAUGGAAUUUUUCUUAAGCGGAUAUUUGCUAAGAACACGGGUGACUAUAUAUCACGUAAGGGAGAUUGUCCGUUCAGUUACGAUGACAUUUUUUCGUACUACAGAGGAUAUGCAGGAUUUUUGGUUGAAUGUUAAAUCUCGGCAGACGGUGCGGAGACAGAAAGAAGAAUAUGAAUUACGCAUCCCUGGGACUUAUUUGGCUUUCUGGCUGAAGCUUUGAAUUUUCAACAGGGAAACGCUUGAAUUUUAAUCAACAUAUAAAGUGGCUAUUUUUCAACGUAUAUUCCUGGAUACUUUCAGCAUGUCUCGCAAAAAUAUGAAUAUGAAUAAUUUCCUUAUCACUGUGGAUACCACUAAUAUAGAAGAUGCUAUGCAACAGAAAAUAUAAAUAAAAUAAAAAAUAUGAACAGAUAUA